CGUCUAUAUACGUAUAGCAUAUCAAUAAGCGGAGGAAAAGAAACUAACAAGGAUUCCCUUAGUAACGGCGAGUGAAGCGGGAAGAGCUCAAAUUUGAAAUCUUCAAGGUUCUACCUUGACGAAUUGUAGUUUAAAGAAGUGUUUUCUGUUAGAGGAGUAGCAAAAGUUCCUUGGAAUGGGACAUCAUAGAGGGUGAGAAUCCCGUAUUUGGUUAUUCUUUCUAGCUUUGUGAUACACAUUUCAAAGAGUCGGAUUGUUUGGGAAUGCAGUCCAAAAUGGGUGGUAAAUUUCAUCUAAAGCUAAUAUUGGCGAGAGACCGAUAGCGAACAAGUACCGUGAGGGAAAGAUGAAAAGAACUUUGAAAAGAGAGUUAAACAGUACGUGAAAUUGUCAAAAGGGAAGCGUUUGACACCAGUGUUGUUUUUCCGAAAAUCAAUUAAGAACGUGCUUGAUUUUGUGUUGUAUUGACCUUAUCAGCUUUCUUCACUCUUUUUCGAGUCUUUCUUAAUGCACUUUUCGGUUAACAAGUCAACAUCAAUUUCUUUUGUUGUAAAGGGUAUUUGGAAGGUGGCUUUCUUUUCGGAGGAAGUAGUUUAUAGCCUUAUACCUCUACAAUCGGAGAGAUUGAGGUCUGCAGCGUAGAUCCUUCGGGGCUAGAUACACUUGUGCUAAGUUAUAGCUUUUCAUAGACAACUUGUUGACUAUGUUUAGUCAUGUAGCUUACCCGCUUGUAGCUAUUUUACCUACGCUUAGGAUGUUGAGUCAUCACACAUCUCU
Molecule: ribosomal RNA, 777 nt
Filed under: uncultured Neocallimastigales
Lineage: Eukaryota; Fungi; Neocallimastigomycota; Neocallimastigomycetes; Neocallimastigales
Description: partial large subunit ribosomal RNA
Rfam family: Eukaryotic large subunit ribosomal RNA
Source: RNAcentral